RNAcentral lists this transfer RNA (72 nucleotides) under Aeluroscalabotes felinus. RNAcentral describes it as "tRNA-Ile". Lineage: Eukaryota; Metazoa; Chordata; Lepidosauria; Squamata; Eublepharidae. The record is from RNAcentral.
AGAAGUGAGCCAAAUAUGACCUAGGAUUACUUUGAUAGAGUACUAUAAGAGGGUUUAAUUCCCUCCACUUCC